Molecule: transfer RNA, 65 nt
Filed under: Dipodomys ordii (Ord's kangaroo rat)
Lineage: Eukaryota; Metazoa; Chordata; Mammalia; Rodentia; Heteromyidae
Rfam family: tRNA
About the family: Transfer RNA (tRNA) molecules are approximately 80 nucleotides in length. Their secondary structure includes four short double-helical elements and three loops (D, anti-codon, and T loops). Further hydrogen bonds mediate the characteristic L-shaped molecular structure. tRNAs have two regions of fundamental functional importance: the anti-codon, which is responsible for specific mRNA codon recognition, and the 3' end, to which the tRNAs corresponding amino acid is attached (by aminoacyl-tRNA synthetases). tRNAs cope with the degeneracy of the genetic code in two manners: having more than one tRNA (with a specific anti-codon) for a particular amino acid; and 'wobble' base-pairing, i.e. permitting non-standard base-pairing at the 3rd anti-codon position.
Source: Rfam by way of RNAcentral
GGUGGCUCAGUGGUAGAAUGUUUGCCUUGCAAGCAUGAAGCCCUGGGUUCGAUUCCUUGGCACCA